AGUGAACGCUGGCGGCGUGCCUAAUACAUGCAAGUCGAACGGAGUGGCGCACGGGUGAGUAAUAUAUAGCUAAUCUGCCCCUUGCUGGAGGACAACAGUUAGAAAUGACUGCUAAUACUCCAUAGCAAGGGAUGAGACUAUAUCGUAUCAGCUAGUCGGUGGGGUAACGGCCUACCGAGGCUAUGACGCGUAACUGGUCUGAGAGGAUGAUCAGUUACCUUGGAACUGAGACACGGUCUAAACUCCUACGGGAGGCAGCAGCAGGUAAUACGGCGCAAUUGGGGAAAACCUGACGCAGCAACGCAGCGUGGAGGAUGACAAUUUUCGGAGCGUAACCUUGUUUUGUUAGGUAAGCGGUACCUAAAGAAUAAGCACCGGCUAACUCCGUGCCAGCAGCCGCGGUAAUAC
RNAcentral lists this ribosomal RNA (408 nucleotides) under uncultured bacterium. RNAcentral describes it as "partial 16S ribosomal RNA". It matches the Rfam family "Bacterial small subunit ribosomal RNA", at positions 29 to 526 of the family's 1533-position model. The record is from RNAcentral.